RNAcentral lists this ribosomal RNA (788 nucleotides) under Alteromonas macleodii. RNAcentral's name for it is "bacterial SSU rRNA". It matches the Rfam family "Bacterial small subunit ribosomal RNA", at positions 88 to 877 of the family's 1533-position model. The record is from RNAcentral. Lineage: Bacteria; Pseudomonadati; Pseudomonadota; Gammaproteobacteria; Alteromonadales; Alteromonadaceae.
AUGACGAGUGGCGGACGGGUGAGUAAUGCUUGGGAACUUGCCUUUGCGAGGGGGAUAACAGUUGGAAACGACUGCUAAUACCGCAUAAUGUCUUCGGACCAAACGGGGCUUCGGCUCCGGCGCAAAGAGAGGCCCAAGUGAGAUUAGCUAGUUGGUAAGGUAACGGCUUACCAAGGCGACGAUCUCUAGCUGUUCUGAGAGGAAGAUCAGCCACACUGGGACUGAGACACGGCCCAGACUCCUACGGGAGGCAGCAGUGGGGAAUAUUGCACAAUGGGGGAAACCCUGAUGCAGCCAUGCCGCGUGUGUGAAGAAGGCCUUCGGGUUGUAAAGCACUUUCAGUUGUGAGGAAAAGUUAGUAGUUAAUACCUGCUAGCCGUGACGUUAACAACAGAAGAAGCACCGGCUAACUCCGUGCCAGCAGCCGCGGUAAUACGGAGGGUGCGAGCGUUAAUCGGAAUUACUGGGCGUAAAGCGCACGCAGGCGGUUUGUUAAGCUAGAUGUGAAAGCCCCGGGCUCAACCUGGGAUGGUCAUUUAGAACUGGCAGACUAGAGUCUUGGAGAGGGGAGUGGAAUUCCAGGUGUAGCGGUGAAAUGCGUAGAUAUCUGGAGGAACAUCAGUGGCGAAGGCGACUCCCUGGCCAAAGACUGACGCUCAUGUGCGAAAGUGUGGGUAGCGAACAGGAUUAGAUACCCUGGUAGUCCACACCGUAAACGCUGUCUACUAGCUGUGUGUGUCUUUAAGGCGUGCGUAGCGGAAGCUAACGCGCUAAGUAGACCGCCUGGG